This 538-nucleotide ribosomal RNA is filed under the name uncultured Enterococcaceae bacterium. Its description in RNAcentral is "bacterial SSU rRNA". It matches the Rfam family "Bacterial small subunit ribosomal RNA", at positions 8 to 517 of the family's 1533-position model. Lineage: Bacteria; Bacillati; Bacillota; Bacilli; Lactobacillales; Enterococcaceae. The record is from RNAcentral.
AGAGUUUGAUCCCGGCUCAGGACGAACGCUGGCGGCGUGCCUAAUACAUGCAAGUCGAACGCUUCUUUCCUCCCGAGUGCUUGCACUCAAUUGGAAAGAGGAGUGGCGGACGGGUGAGUAACACGUGGGUAACCUACCCAUCAGAGGGGGAUAACACUUGGAAACAGGUGCUAAUACCGCAUAACAGUUUAUGUCGCAUGGCAUAAGAGUGAAAGGCGCUUUCGGGUGUCGCUGAUGGAUGGACCCGCGGUGCAUUAGCUAGUUGGUGAGGUAACGGCUCACCAAGGCCACGAUGCAUAGCCGACCUGAGAGGGUGAUCGGCCACACUGGGACUGAGACACGGCCCAGACUCCUACGGGAGGCAGCAGUAGGGAAUCUUCGGCAAUGGACGAAAGUCUGACCGAGCAACGCCGCGUGAGUGAAGAAGGUUUUCGGAUCGUAAAACUCUGUUGUUAGAGAAGAACAAGGACGUUAGUAACUGAACGUCCCCUGACGGUAUCUAACCAGAAAGCCACGGCUAACUACGUGCCAGCAGCCG